CGCUGGCGGCGCGCCUAACACAUGCAAGUCGAACGGAGCUGCACUUCUGAAGUUUCGGAUGGACGAGGUACAAGCUUAGUGGCGAACGGGUGAGUAACACGUGAAGAACCUGCCCUUCAGUGGGGGACAACAGUUGGAAACGACUGCUAAUACCGCAUAAGACCACAGUACCGCAUGGUACAGUGAUCAAAGGAUUUAUUCGCUGAAGGAUGGCUUCGCGUCCGAUUAGGUAGUUGGUGAGGUAACGGCCCACCAAGCCUACGAUCGGUAGCCGGACUGAGAGGUUGAUCGGCCACAUUGGGACUGAGACACGGCCCAGACUCCUACGGGAGGCAGCAGUGGGGAAUAUUGCACAAUGGAGGAAACUCUGAUGCAAGCGACGCCGCGUGAGGGAAGAAGGUCUUCGGAUUGUAAACCUCUGUCUUCAGGGACGAUAAUGACGGUACCUGAGGAGGAAGCACCGGCUAACUACGUGCCAGCAGCAGC
This 486-nucleotide ribosomal RNA is filed under the name uncultured bacterium. RNAcentral's name for it is "bacterial SSU rRNA". It matches the Rfam family "Bacterial small subunit ribosomal RNA", at positions 34 to 518 of the family's 1533-position model. The record is from RNAcentral.